RNAcentral lists this ribosomal RNA (478 nucleotides) under uncultured bacterium. RNAcentral's name for it is "partial 16S ribosomal RNA". It matches the Rfam family "Bacterial small subunit ribosomal RNA", at positions 28 to 507 of the family's 1533-position model. The record is from RNAcentral.
GACGAACGCUGGCGGCGUGCUUAACACAUGCAAGUCGAACGGGAUUUAGUAGACAGAAGCCUCGGCUAAAGAUUACUACUGAGAGUGGCGAACGGGUGAGUAACGCGUGAGCAACCUGCCUAUGACAGUGGGAUAGCCUCGGGAAACCGGGAUUAAUACCGCAUAAAAUCGUAGAAACACAUGUUUUAACGGUCAAAGAUUUAUCGGUCAUAGAUGGGCUCGCGUCUGAUUAGCUAGUUGGUGAGAUAACAGCCCACCAAGGCGACGAUCAGUAGCCGGUCUGAGAGGAUGAACGGCCACAUUGGAACUGAGACACGGUCCAAACUCCUACGGGAAGCAGCAGUGGGGAAUAUUGCACAAUGGGGGAAACCCUGAUGCAGCGACGCCGCGUGAACGAAGAAGGUAUUCGUAUCGUAAAGUUCUGUCCAAUGGGAAGAUAAUGACAGUACCAUAGAAGAAAGCUCCGGCUAAAUACGUG